CUCUGUCUGAGCUCAAUAUCAGCAAAGCAGAGGCAGGGAAUGAUGAAGAAAAAAGCCAGAGCGUGGCAAACUCCAAACCAAAGCAGGAAGAAGGCAAAGGGGAAGGUCAUUGUCAUGCUGGAAGACCCAUCCAUGACCCAUCUUCAGAGUUCUGGCUGAGGGAAGGAGGUUCUCAUCCAAGAUUUUACAGUACAUGGCCCCAUCCAUUUGCCCCUCAAUGUGAUGAAGUCGUCCUGUACCCUUAGCAGAAAAACAGCCCAAAAGCAUAAUGUUUCCACCUCCGUGCUUGACUGUAGGGAUGGUGUUCUUGGGGUCAUAGUCAGCAUUUCUCUCCCCCCAAACACAGCGAGUUGCGUUAAUGCCAAAGAGCUCAAUUUUUGUUUCAUCUGCCCACAGCACUUUCUCCCAAGCCUUCUUUGAA
Cyprinus carpio carpio is the source of this 421-nucleotide long non-coding RNA. The record is from Ensembl. Lineage: Eukaryota; Metazoa; Chordata; Actinopteri; Cypriniformes; Cyprinidae.